This 460-nucleotide ribosomal RNA is filed under the name uncultured bacterium. RNAcentral describes it as "partial 16S ribosomal RNA". It matches the Rfam family "Bacterial small subunit ribosomal RNA", at positions 338 to 795 of the family's 1533-position model. The record is from RNAcentral.
CCUACGGGUGGCAGCAGUGAGGAAUAUUGGUCAAUGGGCGCGAGCCUGAACCAGCCAAGUCGCGUGAGGGAAGACGGUCCUAUGGAUUGUAAACCUCUUUUGUCGGGGAGCAAGGCCCGCCACUUGUGUCGGUCCGGAGAGUACCCGAAGACAAAGCAUCGGCUGACUCCGUGCCAGCAGCCGCGGUACUACGGAGGAUGCGAGCGUUAUCCGGCUUUAUUGGGUUAAAAGGGUGCGUAGGCGGAAGGUUAAGUCCGCGGUCAAAUGUCGGUGCUCAACACCGGCCUGCCGUUGAAACUGGUCUGCUUGAGUGAGCGAGAAGUAGGCGGAAUGCGUGGUGUAGCGGUGAAAUGCAUAGAUAUCACGCAGAACUCCGAUUGCGAAGGCAGCAUACCGGCGCGCAACUGACGCUGAGGCACGAAAGCGUGGGGAUCGAACAGGAUUAGAUACCCCAGUAGUC